RNAcentral lists this ribosomal RNA (477 nucleotides) under uncultured bacterium. Its description in RNAcentral is "bacterial SSU rRNA". It matches the Rfam family "Bacterial small subunit ribosomal RNA", at positions 328 to 793 of the family's 1533-position model. The record is from RNAcentral.
UCAGUCGACUCCUACGGGGAGGCAGCAGUGGGGAAUAUUGCACAAUGGGGGAAACCCUGAUGCAGCCAUGCCGCGUGUGUGAAGAAGGCCUUCGGGUUGUAAAGCACUUUCAGUAGGGAGGAAGGUAGUGUAGUUAACACCUGCACUAUUUGACGUUACCUACAGAAGAAGCACCGGCUAACUCCGUGACCAGCAGCCGCGGUAAUACGGAGGGUGCGAGCGUUAAUCGGAAUUACUGGGCGUAAAGCGCAUGCAGGCGGCCUGUUAAGUCAGAUGUGAAAGACCCGGGGCUUAACCUCGGAAUUGCAUUUGAAACUGGCAGGCUAGAGUCUUGUAGAGGGGGGUAGGAAUUUCAGGUGUAGCGGUGAAAUGCGUAGAGAUCUGAAGGAAUACCAGUGGCGAAGGCGGCCCCCUGGACAAAGACUGACGCUCAGAUGCGAAAGCGUGGGGAGCAAACAGGAUUAGAUACCCUGGUAG